RNAcentral lists this ribosomal RNA (473 nucleotides) under uncultured bacterium. RNAcentral describes it as "bacterial SSU rRNA". It matches the Rfam family "Bacterial small subunit ribosomal RNA", at positions 27 to 507 of the family's 1533-position model. The record is from RNAcentral.
GGAUGAACGCUAGCGGCAGGCUUAACACAUGCAAGUCGAGGGGCAGCAUGAAGGUUAGCAAUAACCUUUGAUGGCGACCGGCGCAAGGGUGCGUAACGCGUGAGCAACUUGCCCGUUUCAGGGGGAUAACCGUUGGAAACGACGACUAAUACCCCAUGGUGAUGUUAGGAGGCAUCUCCUUUCAUCUAAAGAACUUCGGAAACGGAUAGGCUCGCGUCCGAUUAGCUAGUUGGUGAGGUAACGGCCCACCAAGGCGACGAUCGGUAGCCGACCUGAGAGGGUGAUCGGCCACAUUGGAACUGAGACACGGUCCAAACUCCUACGGGAGGCAGCAGUGGGGAAUAUUGGGCAAUGGGCGAAAGCCUGACCCAGCAACGCCGCGUGAGGGAAGAAGGUUCUCGGAUUGUAAACCUCUGUCCUUGGUGACGAAGGAAGUGACGGUAGCCAAGGAGGAAGCCCCGGCUAACUACGUG